This 534-nucleotide ribosomal RNA is filed under the name Bifidobacterium pseudocatenulatum. RNAcentral describes it as "bacterial SSU rRNA". It matches the Rfam family "Bacterial small subunit ribosomal RNA", at positions 153 to 699 of the family's 1533-position model. Lineage: Bacteria; Bacillati; Actinomycetota; Actinomycetes; Bifidobacteriales; Bifidobacteriaceae. The record is from RNAcentral.
AAAACGGGUGGUAAUGCCGGAUGCUCCGACUCCUCGCAUGGGGUGUCGGGAAAGAUUUCAUCGGUAUGGGAUGGGGUCGCGUCCUAUCAGGUAGUCGGCGGGGUAACGGCCCACCGAGCCUACGACGGGUAGCCGGCCUGAGAGGGCGACCGGCCACAUUGGGACUGAGAUACGGCCCAGACUCCUACGGGAGGCAGCAGUGGGGAAUAUUGCACAAUGGGCGCAAGCCUGAUGCAGCGACGCCGCGUGCGGGAUGACGGCCUUCGGGUUGUAAACCGCUUUUGAUCGGGAGCAAGCCUUCGGGUGAGUGUACCUUUCGAAUAAGCACCGGCUAACUACGUGCCAGCAGCCGCGGUAAUACGUAGGGUGCAAGCGUUAUCCGGAAUUAUUGGGCGUAAAGGGCUCGUAGGCGGUUCGUCGCGUCCGGUGUGAAAGUCCAUCGCUUAACGGUGGAUCUGCGCCGGGUACGGGCGGGCUGGAGUGCGGUAGGGGAGACUGGAAUUCCCGGUGUAACGGUGGAAUGUGUAGAUAUCG